RNAcentral lists this ribosomal RNA (452 nucleotides) under uncultured Acholeplasma sp. Its description in RNAcentral is "bacterial SSU rRNA". It matches the Rfam family "Bacterial small subunit ribosomal RNA", at positions 924 to 1382 of the family's 1533-position model. Lineage: Bacteria; Bacillati; Mycoplasmatota; Mollicutes; Acholeplasmatales; Acholeplasmataceae. The record is from RNAcentral.
CACAAGCGGUGGAUCAUGUUGUUUAAUUCGAUGAUACGCGAAGAACCUUACCAGGUCUUGACAUCCCCGCGAUGCUUUAGAGAUAAAGCGGAGGUAUUCGGGGAGACAGGUGGUGCAUGGUUGUCGUCAGCUCGUGUCGUGAGAUGUUGGGUUAAGUCCCGCAACGAGCGCAACCCCUAUUGCUAGUUACCAUCAUUAAGUUGGGGACUCUAGCGAGACUGCCAGUGAUAAACUGGAGGAAGGCGGGGAUGACGUCAAAUCAGCACGGCCCUUACGUCCAGGGCUACACACGUGCUACAAUGGCCGAUACAGAGGGCAGCUACCUGGUGACAGGAUGCAAAUCUCCAAAGUCGGUCUCAGUUCGGAUCGGAGUCUGCAACCCGACUCCGUGAAGUUGGAUUCGCUAGUAAUCGCGCAUCAGCCAUGGCGCGGUGAAUACGUUCCCGGGCCUU